This 497-nucleotide ribosomal RNA is filed under the name uncultured bacterium. RNAcentral's name for it is "partial 16S ribosomal RNA". It matches the Rfam family "Bacterial small subunit ribosomal RNA", at positions 28 to 507 of the family's 1533-position model. The record is from RNAcentral.
GAUGAACGCUGGCGGCGUGCCUAAUACAUGCAAGUCGAGCGAACAGAUGAGGAGCUUGCUCCUCUGACGUUAGCGGCGGACGGGUGAGUAACACGUGGCUAACCUACCUAUAAGACUGGGAUAACUUCGGGAAACCGGAGCUAAUACCGGAUAAUAUAUUGAACCGCAUGGUUCAAUAGUGAAAGACGGUUUUGCUGUCACUUAUAGAUGGAUCCGCGCCGCAUUAGCUAGUUGGUAAGGUAACGGCUUUCCAAGGCAACGAUGCGUAGCCGACCGGGGAGGGGGAUCGUCCACACUGGAACUGAGACACGGUCCAGACUCCUACGGGAGGCAGCAGUAGGGAAUCUGCCGCAAGGGGCGAAAGCCUGACGGAGCAACGCCGCGUGAGUGAGGAAGGUCUUCGGAUCGUAAAACUCUGUUAUUAGGGAAGAACAAAUGUGUAAGUAACUAUGCACGUCGUGACGGUACCUAAACAGAAAGCCACGGCUAACUACGUG